RNAcentral lists this ribosomal RNA (464 nucleotides) under uncultured Actinomycetes bacterium. RNAcentral's name for it is "bacterial SSU rRNA". It matches the Rfam family "Bacterial small subunit ribosomal RNA", at positions 224 to 704 of the family's 1533-position model. The record is from RNAcentral. Lineage: Bacteria; Bacillati; Actinomycetota; Actinomycetes.
GAUGGGCUCGCGGCCUAUCAGCUUGUUGGUGGGGUAACGGCCUACCAAGGCGACGACGGGUAGCUGGUCUGAGAGGACGAUCAGCCACACUGGGACUGAGACACGGCCCAGACUCCUACGGGAGGCAGCAGUAGGGAAUCUUGCGCAAUGGGGGAAACCCUGACGCAGCGACGCCGCGUGCGGGAUGAAGGCCUUCGGGUCGUAAACCGCUUUCAGCAGGGACGAAAUUGACGGUACCUGCAGAAGAAGGCCCGGCCAACUACGUGCCAGCAGCCGCGGUGAUACGUAGGGGUCUAGCGUUGUCCGGAAUUAUUGGGCGUAAAGAGCUCGUAGGCGGUUCGGCAAGUCGGAUGUGAAAUCUCCACGCUUAACGUGGAGGGGCCAUUCGAAACUGCCGUGACUCGAGUCCGGUAGGGGAGUGCGGAAUUCCCGGUGUAGCGGUGAAAUGCGCAGAUAUCGGGAGG